Long non-coding RNA from Ictidomys tridecemlineatus (thirteen-lined ground squirrel), 545 nucleotides. RefSeq lists it as uncharacterized. The record is from RefSeq and is a predicted model, not a curated record. Lineage: Eukaryota; Metazoa; Chordata; Mammalia; Rodentia; Sciuridae.
CCCUCCCUGGAACCAAGUGCUCUUCUGACUCAUCCCUUGUGCAGACCAAAUUUAUCGAAAAGCACUUGCUGGCCGUGAGGUUCUUCCCUUGCUGACCCUUUGUGCUGCAGACCCGCUGAGGACAGACUAUGGGGAACAUUUCUGAAAGUAGGUCCUCGCCGGAUUGAAGAAAACAUACCGUUGGUGUCCUGAAAUUGCCAGUGAUGCCCUGGGCAGAGCACUGACUGUGGCCAGCUGGAGCAGCCCUGGACAAGUUGAUUUCUUGCCUUCAGAAGUUUUUCUUCUCUGGACAUAGCAGAAGACACAUCUGUAGGACUUCUGCAGCCAAGAUUGAUCCCCCAUGCUGCUCUGACAGGCUGGACUCUCCUUCUUACCUCCAUCAUGAGUCUCUGAAUUGAGUGACAUGGUACAAAAACUCUAUGUCCCUUUAUGUUAUUAUUGUACCCAAUUCCAUCUUCAUACAUUAUGUGUUCAUCAAAACAUCUGUGCUUAUUAAUUAUACCGUUUCUUUCUAAAUAAAAUAGGAGAAAAGCUUACAAACAAAA